This 405-nucleotide unclassified non-coding RNA is filed under the name fungal sp. RNAcentral's name for it is "partial internal transcribed spacer region". The stretch from base 1 to 46 matches the Rfam family "Eukaryotic small subunit ribosomal RNA", at positions 1786 to 1831 of the family's 1831-position model. The record is from RNAcentral. Lineage: Eukaryota; Fungi.
AAGUCGUAACAAGGUUUCCGUAGGUGAACCUGCGGAAGGAUCAUUACCAUAUCCAAAAUUUAUCAACCCACUGUGUGAACCGUUUUUCGAGGGAGACUAGAGAAAGAGGCUUUUUCUUCUUUUUUUUAAUGGUCUUUUUCCUUGGAAAAUACUCGUGUUAUUUGGGGGGAAGGCUCGUAACUGAGCUGGAACCCCAUUAGCAUUUUUUCUGAGUGGAAGGCUGUUUCUUAUGGGAAGGCAAAGGUCUUUUUUCUGUAGUUCUUCCGAACAAAAAUUAACACCUUGUCAAACCAAAGCUCUUUUUUCUCAAAAAAAAAGCAUACUAACUUGAUUUCUUGUGGCAACACCAGAAACCAUUAAAACAAAACCAAUAGACAACUUACAACGGUGGAUCUCUUGGCUCGU